RNAcentral lists this ribosomal RNA (372 nucleotides) under uncultured organism. RNAcentral describes it as "partial 16S ribosomal RNA". It matches the Rfam family "Bacterial small subunit ribosomal RNA", at positions 527 to 896 of the family's 1533-position model. The record is from RNAcentral.
GUAGGUGGCAAGCGUUGUCCGGAAUUAUUGGGCGUAAAGCGCGCGCAGGCGGUUCUUUAAGUCUGAUGUGAAAGCCCACGGCUCAACCGUGGAGGGUCAUUGGAAACUGGAGAACUUGAGUACAGAAGAGGAAAGCGGAAUUCCACGUGUAGCGGUGAAAUGCGUAGAGAUGCGGAGGAACACCAGUGGCGAAGGCGGCUUUCUGGUCUGUAACUGACGCUGAGGCGCGAAAGCGUGGGGAGCAAACAGGGAUUAGAUACCCUGGUAGUCCACGCCGUAAACGAUGAGUGCUAAGUGUUAGGGGGUUUCCGCCCCCUUAGUGCUGCAGCUAACGCAUUAAGCACUCCGCCUGGGGAUACGGCCGCAAGGCUG